CGGGGAGGUAGUGACGAAAAAUAACGAUACGGGACUCAUCCGAGGCCCCGUAAUCGGAAUGGGUACACUUUAAAUCCUUUAACGAGGACCAAUUGGAGGGCAAGUCUGGUGCCAGCAGCCGCGGUAAUUCCAGCUCCAAUAGCGUAUAUUAAAGUUGUUGCGGUUAAAAAGCUCGUAGUUGAAUCUGUGUGUCACAGUGUCGGUUCACCGCUCGCGGUGUUUAACUGGCAUUAUGUGGUACGUCCUACCGGUGGGCUUAGCUCCUUGCGGGCGGUCCAACUAAUCUCCCAUCGCGGUGCUCUUCACUGAGUGUCGAGGUGGGCCGGUACGUUUACUUUGAACAAAUUAGAGUGCUCAAAGCAGGCUACCUUCGCCUGAAUACUGCGUGCAUGGAAUAAUGGAAUAGGACCUCGGUUCUAUUUUGUUGGUUUUCGGAACCCCGAGGUAAUGAUUAAUAGGGACAGAUGGGGGCAUUCGUAUUGCGACGUUAGAGGUGAAAUUCUUGGAUCGUCGCAAGACGGACUAAAGCGAAAGCAUUUGCCAAAAAUGUUUUCAUUAAUCAAGAACGAAAGUUAGAGGUUCGAAGGCGAUCAGAUACCGCCCUAGUUCUAACCAUAAACGAUGCCAGCUAGCGAUCCGCCGAAGUUCCUCCGAUGACUCGGCGGGCAGCUUCCGGGAAACCAAAGCUUUUGGGUUCCGGGGGAAGUAUGGUUGCAAAGCUGAAACUUAAAGGAAUUGACGGAAGGGCACCACCAGGAGUGGAGCCUGCGGCUUAAUUUGACUC
Molecule: ribosomal RNA, 784 nt
Filed under: Alepidosceles sp. JS-2010
Lineage: Eukaryota; Metazoa; Arthropoda; Insecta; Hymenoptera; Apidae
Description: SSU rRNA
Rfam family: Eukaryotic small subunit ribosomal RNA
Source: RNAcentral